CAGCCGCCGCGGUAAUACGUAGGGUGCGAGCGUUAAUCGGAAUUACUGGGCGUAAAGCGUGCGCAGGCGGUUGUGUAAGACAGGUGUGAAACCCCCGGGCUUAACCUGGGAACUGCGCUUGUGACUGCACAGCUAGAGUAUGGCAGAGGGGGGUGGAAUUCCACGUGUAGCAGUGAAAUGCGUAGAGAUGUGGAGGAACACCGAUGGCGAAGGCAGCCCCCUGGGCCAAUACUGACGCUCAUGCACGAAAGCGUGGGGAGCAAACAGGAUUAGAUACCCCCGUAGUCCCUGUCUCUUAUAA
RNAcentral lists this ribosomal RNA (301 nucleotides) under uncultured bacterium. RNAcentral describes it as "partial 16S ribosomal RNA". It matches the Rfam family "Bacterial small subunit ribosomal RNA", at positions 509 to 809 of the family's 1533-position model. The record is from RNAcentral.